CAGGAAUGUUUAUUAUUUUUCCUAUGCAGCGAGGAAAUAAAGCACAAUUGUCUUGCACUUUGGAAAUGCUGGCAUCCCCACACACAGCUCCUCCAUGGAGAGCAGGGCCGCAGCUGGACGCUCCCCCCCUCAGCCCAGGCUGCCUCCCCACAAUCUGCAGCACACAGGGAGGGAGAUUUAUAGAGUGGCUGAGCUGGAACCUGCUGGGAAGGGCCACCCAGAGCCAUGGGAACACCUGCCAUAGGUGUGGCCUUGUGGGAUGGAGCCAACAGGGGAGUGGGUCCCUGUGUAAGAAAUGGGGUCACUUACCUGCACUGUUGCUCAUGUGUGAGGGGUGGGAUUGGAUGCUCCAUCCCAGCACACGGAAGAGAUGGGGACAGAGGGAGCUGGAGGACCAGGAGAUGGGAAUAAGGGAGAUUCUCAGAGCAUCGGGGAGCACUGCCACCACUGCCAGCCUCAGUGCUGCUGGCACAAAAGAGCUGGCACCUGGCUCAGGGCUGCUAUGGCAGGGUGCUCACACCAAUGGCACAUCAAUGGGAGGCUGUGCCCUCCCUCAGCAUCCCUCUGCCUCACUUCCCAACAGAUGCCAAUCUCCGCAUCCCUUCUCAGGGUGCCAGCCCACAAGGUGCCAUGGCUGCACCCCCAGACCUGCACAAGCACUUGGGGCAGGGAAAACCAAGGGCAAGAUGCCCCAGAGGGUGGAAGAAACCACUGAAAUUCAAAGGCAAGAAGAUGCACACCAUCAAACUUUAGUACAGGGAGCAAUGGCAGUGAGCACAGGGACUUCCAGCAGCACCAGCCCGGGCACAACCAUUCCAACUGCCCCAGCUCACGUUUUCCACGCAUUGCCACCCCCCAGGGGAGACGGGCUCUGCUGGACGGGGCCCAUUGUGCAAGACUUUCCAGCUUUGACCUCAGUCCUGCUGCAGUGCACGCAGCCUCAGCAGCCUGGAGGGCUGGAGCCGGUCCCACUCCCUGCCCUGUCUCGCAGGGCCCAGCCCUUUACAAAUCAAGAAUGUUUAUUUCAAAUAAUUAGGGGAAAAAAUAAAAAAAGGCCCUCGCGUAGAGAAGGGAAGCCCUGGGACAACAAAUGAACAUGAGUGUGAUACUCAGCUUCAAAAGGGCAGGCAGGACUGGUCUGUGCCUCAUAAAAUAAUGAGUAUUAGGAAAAGAUCCUGAAAUACCACAGAUAAAAAAAGC
This 1200-nucleotide long non-coding RNA is filed under the name Coturnix japonica (Japanese quail). RNAcentral's name for it is "lncRNA (ENSCJPG00005004344.1)". The record is from RNAcentral. Lineage: Eukaryota; Metazoa; Chordata; Aves; Galliformes; Phasianidae.